AUUCACUAACAGGACACCUUCAGCAUCUCGGUUAAACGCAGGACGGCACAUACAGGUGUGACAGCACAACCCGCACAGCAGAAGCAGGCAGGUAAAGGGGACCGUCUGCAUCAGCUUCAUUAAACAAGGCACAGCAACGCUCACUGUUGCUUUAACUCUAACGAAAGCCUGCUCAAUUCAAGGUACCCAAGCUGCCCCACGUCCUGCGUUCAGCCUUCUCCCCUCCCGCCGCGCCUGCCAACAGGCCUCCCCGCCAAAGCCCAGGACAAGAGCGGUCCGGGGCAGGACGAGGUUCCGGCUGCGCCAGUCGCGGAGGAACAGGCCGAGAAGAUCCUGGCCUGGCCGCGCCUCACCGCCCGGUACCUGCGGGCCCCUGAAAUCCGCUGCCGCCUCCGCCGCUCCUCUUCCGCUCCGGAGCACUUUUCCGUGCGUCCCGCGCGCCGCCGCCAGCCCAGCACUGCGCAGGCGCCGCGCCGCCGAUUGGCCGCCGGCCGCUCCUCCCCCUGCUCUUUUUCUCCCUCCUCCCGGCCCGCUGUCCGGCUCUUCUCUGCCCCGGGAGGUACCGCCCGCCUUCUCCCGCCCGCCUCCUGUCCCGCCCUGGGGCGAAGCACUGCCCGCGAGGCGGCUCCUGGCGGCCGGGGGCCGGCCUUGUUCCUGCUGGCUGCGCGUUGGUGCCGCUGUUUGCGUGAUGAAAGGAUGCGAUCUAUCCCGUGCAGAGAGGGAAAUGAGGGGGAGGGGAAGAAAGUCUCCAAAACCAACCCGUCGCGCUCCCAGCUAUUACUAUAAAAUUCUAAGAGCAAUGAACAUAUGGCUGUUACUAUCAGCACUGGUGUAUUUGCAGCGAUGCCUAUCAACAUCCACCAGAGAGCAGGGCAGCUCCAAAACCCACAUCUUUCAUGCUGUGGAAAUUGAUGGAGACAGCAACACAGCCAGCUUCUUGGCCAAACAACAUGGAAUGCAGUUCAUUUCAAAGCCUGUAAGGCUUGUGCAUGAUGUAUGUGAGAACGAUUUCCAGCAGAGAAGCUUAUCACAGAUCUACCUAAAAGGUAAGGCUAUUUUUUUAAUUUUUAGUUCACAUGCAGAACAGCUGCCUGAAGAACACUUGCACACAGAACAAGAAAGACAUUUGGUUUAGGUUUUGAUUAUACACAU
Long non-coding RNA from Numida meleagris (helmeted guineafowl), 1152 nucleotides. NCBI's taxonomy places the organism in Eukaryota, Metazoa, Chordata, Aves, Galliformes, Numididae. The record is from Ensembl.